AUCCAACUGACGAGUACUAGAUAGGACGAAACGCGCGUCAAGCUGGAU
This 48-nucleotide non-coding RNA is filed under the name Schistosoma bovis. Lineage: Eukaryota; Metazoa; Platyhelminthes; Trematoda; Strigeidida; Schistosomatidae. The record is from RNAcentral. RNAcentral also lists the same sequence under 1 other name.